GGCUGUGUGCACCAUGGCCUGGACUCCUCUCCUCCUUGUGUUCCUCUCUCACUGCACAGGUUCCCUCUCCCAGCCUGUGCUGACUCAGCCGCCCUCUGUCUCUGCGUCUCCUGGAGCCACAGCCAGACUCACCUGCACCCUCAGCAGUGGCUUCAGUGUUGGUGGCUACUACAUAAAAUGGUUCCAGCAGAAGCCAGGCAGCCCUCCCCGGUAUCUGCUGGAGUAUAAAUCAGACUCAGAGAAGCACCAGGCCUCUGGGGUCCCCAGCCGCUUCUCUGGAUCCAAAGACACCUCCGCCAAUGCAGGGCUCCUGACCAUCUCUGACCUGCAGCCUGAGGACGAGGCCGACUAUUACUGUAACAUAUGGUACAGUAACACUCCUCACAGUGACUCACACAGAUGGGGAAGUGGGACAAAAACCUUGUACUGCCCAGGGUGA
Molecule: non-coding RNA, 439 nt
Organism: Artibeus jamaicensis (Jamaican fruit-eating bat)
Lineage: Eukaryota; Metazoa; Chordata; Mammalia; Chiroptera; Phyllostomidae
Source: the annotation of a RefSeq genome assembly